ACGAGAAACCCGGGAAGGAACACACCAGGCUAGAUGGGAUCUGCACCGUGGAAAGGCAGCAGAACAAGUCACUCCUUGGCCCCCAGAAACCCCUCACCUGCCAUGACAUAGAGAUGAGAAGACCCGGGACAAGUAAAGGCUGCAUCCACAGACGUCAGGCUGAUCCCAUGAGGGCCCCCAAGUUCCUUCUCCAGCCGCUUA
Long non-coding RNA from Fukomys damarensis (Damara mole-rat), 201 nucleotides. RefSeq lists it as uncharacterized. The transcript has 2 exons. The record is from RefSeq and is a predicted model, not a curated record. Lineage: Eukaryota; Metazoa; Chordata; Mammalia; Rodentia; Bathyergidae.